GACGAACGCUGGCGGCGUGCCUAACACAUGCAAGUCGAGCGGAGAUGAUGUGAGGAAGUUUUCGGAUGGAAUCACAUUAUUUUAGCGGCGGACGGGUGAGUAACGCGUGAGCGACCAACCUUGCACAGGGGGAUAACGGACCGAAAGGUUCACUAAUACCGCAUGAGACCACGGUGUUGCAUGACACAGAAGUCAAAGGAGAGAUCCGGUGCAAGACGGGCUCGCGUUCGAUUAGGUAGUUGGAGGGGUAACGGGCCACCAAGCCUAUGAUCGGUAGCCGACCUGAGAGGGUGAUCGGCCACAUUGGAACUGAGAUACGGUCCAAACUCCUACGGGAGGCAGCAGUGGGGAAUAUUGGGCAAUGGGGGAAACCCUGACCCAGCAACGCCGCGUGAAGGAAGAAGGUUUUCGGAUUGUAAACUUCUGUCCUUGGUGAAGAGAAGAAGACGGUAGCCAAGGAGGAAGCCCCGGCUAACUACGUGCCAGCAGCCGCCGUAA
This 498-nucleotide ribosomal RNA is filed under the name uncultured bacterium. RNAcentral describes it as "partial 16S ribosomal RNA". It matches the Rfam family "Bacterial small subunit ribosomal RNA", at positions 28 to 523 of the family's 1533-position model. The record is from RNAcentral.